CGCGAACAGCACUUACCCCCAACAGUCUGUCAAGGCUACGCGGGGGACCUUUGUGUGUAGAGCUCAGCAUUUUUCUUCCUCAUUUGCGAGCCUCGCAAGCAAAAUAAACUUCAAAGUGAGCUUCGGUGAAAUUUAAGAACGUGAGCUGUCGCCACCAUCUAUUUAUUAUUCGUGAUGCAUUACAAAAAAAACGAGCUUUUCUUGUGUUAGAGAUCACGUGAAUGGUAAAUGUGUCGUACACCCACCUCCACCUGACAGAGUCAACUAGUCUAGUUUGUCAACGUGAACAGAACGUGCCAUUGUGUUACUUUAGGAACAAUGAGAAGGGUUUGUCAACGUGAACAGAACGUGCCAUUGUGUUACUUUAGGAACAAUGAGAAGGGUUUGUCACGUGAACAGAACGUGCCAUUGUGUUACUUUAGGAACAAUUAGAAGGGUUUGUCAACGUGAAGAGAACGUGCCAUUGUGUUACUUUAGGAACAAUGAGAAGGGUUUGUCACGUGAACAGAACGUGCCAUUGUGUUACUUUAGGAACAAUGAGAAGGGUUUGUCACGUGAACAGAACGUGCCAUUGUGUUACUUUAGGAACAAUUAGAAGGGGUUGUCACGUGAACAGAACGUGCCAUUGUGUUACUUUAGGAACAAUGAGAAGGGUUUGUCACGUGAACAGAACGUGCCAUUGUGUUACUUUAGGAACAAUGAGAAGGGGUUGUCACGUGAACAGAACGUGCCAUUGUGUUACUUUAGGAACAAUUAGAAGGGUUUGUCACGUGAACAGAACGUGCGAUUGUGUUACUUUAGGAACAAUUAGAAGGGUUUGUCAACGUGAACAGAACGUGCCAUUGUGUUACUUUAGGAACAAUUAGAAGGGUUUGUCAACGUGAACAGAACGUGCCAUUGUGUUACUUUAGGAACAAUUAGAAGGGUUUGUCACGUGAACAGAACGUGCCAUUGUGUUACUUUAGGAACAAUGAGAAGGGUUUGUCACGUGAACAGAACGUGCCAUUGUGUUACUUUAGGAACAAUUAGAAGGGUUUGUCAACGUGAACAGAACGUGCCAUUGUGUUACUUUAGGAACAAUGAUAAAGGUUUGUCACGUGAACAGAACGUGCCAUUGUGUUACUUUAGGAACAA
Petromyzon marinus (sea lamprey) is the source of this 1134-nucleotide non-coding RNA. The record is from RefSeq and is a predicted model, not a curated record. NCBI's taxonomy places the organism in Eukaryota, Metazoa, Chordata, Hyperoartia, Petromyzontiformes, Petromyzontidae.